Non-coding RNA from Cinara cedri, 203 nucleotides. The record is from the annotation of a GenBank genome assembly. Lineage: Eukaryota; Metazoa; Arthropoda; Insecta; Hemiptera; Aphididae.
CGUCUAAGCGCAUAGUUUUAUUGUUAUUGUUAAGAACUACCUAACAGCAGUAAUAACCAGUGGCGUAAUUACGGGGGUUCGCGAUGGUAUACUUCCACCCCCUGCGAUUAUCUACCGGAUGCAAAUAUGCGUUGCUUUAUGUUUUAUGUACCCGAUAAAGUUGAACUCUACCCCUAUUAUAAAAAAAAUAUACAUACAUAAGU